Molecule: ribosomal RNA, 703 nt
Filed under: Bacillus cereus
Lineage: Bacteria; Bacillati; Bacillota; Bacilli; Caryophanales; Bacillaceae
Description: bacterial SSU rRNA
Rfam family: Bacterial small subunit ribosomal RNA
Source: RNAcentral
UCGAGCGGAUGAGUGGAGCUUGCUCCAUGAUUCAGCGGCGGACGGGUGAGUAAUGCCUAGGAAUCUGCCUGGUAGUGGGGGAUAACGUUUCGAAAGGAACGCUAAUACCGCAUACGUCCUACGGGAGAAAGUGGGGGAUCUUCGGACCUCACGCUAUCAGAUGAGCCUAGGUCGGAUUAGCUAGUUGGUGGGGUAAUGGCCCACCAAGGCGACGAUCCGUAACUGGUCUGAGAGGAUGAUCAGUCACACUGGAACUGAGACACGGUCCAGACUCCUACGGGAGGCAGCAGUGGGGAAUAUUGGACAAUGGGCGAAAGCCUGAUCCAGCCAUGCCGCGUGUGUGAAGAAGGUCUUCGGAUUGUAAAGCACUUUAAGUUGGGAGGAAGGGCAGUAAGUUAAUACCUUGCUGUUUUGACGUUACCAACAGAAUAAGCACCGGCUAACUUCGUGCCAGCAGCCGCGGUAAUACGAAGGGUGCAAGCGUUAAUCGGAAUUACUGGGCGUAAAGCGCGCGUAGGUGGUUCAGCAAGUUGGAUGUGAAAGCCCCGGGCUCAACCUGGGAAUUGCAUCCAAAACUACUGAGCUAGAGUACGGUAGAGGGUGGUGGAAUUUCCUGUGUAGCGGUGAAAUGCGUAGAUAUAGGAAGGAACACCAGUGGCGAAGGCGACCACCUGGACUGAUACUGACACUGAGGUGCGAAAGC